RNAcentral lists this ribosomal RNA (407 nucleotides) under uncultured bacterium. RNAcentral's name for it is "partial 16S ribosomal RNA". It matches the Rfam family "Bacterial small subunit ribosomal RNA", at positions 28 to 526 of the family's 1533-position model. The record is from RNAcentral.
GACGAACGCUGGCGGCGUGCCUAAUACAUGCAAGUAGGACGCAGUUGCGAACGUGUGAGUAAAGCGUCGGUAACUACCUAUUAGAGGGGGAUAACUAUUGGAAACGAUAGCCAAUACCGCAUACUAGUCGAUGGACCUGCGUUGUAUUUGCUAGUCGGUUGGGUAAUGGCAUACCUAGGCAACGAUACAUCGCCGACCUGAGAGGGUGAACGGCCAAACUGGGACUGAGACACGGCCCAGACUCCUACGGGAGGCAGCAGUAGGGAAUCUUCGGCAAUGGAGGGAAGCCUGACCGAGCAACGCCGCGUGAGUGAUGAAGGGUUUCGGAUCGUAAAGCUCUGUUGUUAAGGAAGCGGUACUUAACCAGAAAGGGACGGCUAACUACGUGCCAGCAGCCGCGGUAAUAC